This 337-nucleotide unclassified non-coding RNA is filed under the name soil metagenome. RNAcentral describes it as "partial contains 5.8S ribosomal RNA, internal transcribed spacer 2, and large subunit ribosomal RNA". The stretch from base 1 to 120 matches the Rfam family "5.8S ribosomal RNA", at positions 35 to 154 of the family's 154-position model. The record is from RNAcentral.
GAUGAAGAACGCAGUGAAAUGCGAUAAGUAGUGUGAAUUGCAGAAUUCAGUGAAUCAUCGAAUCUUUGAACGCACAUUGCGCCCCUUGGUAUUCCAUGGGGCAUGCCUGUUCGAGCGUCAUCUACACCCUCAAGCUCUGCUUGGUGUUGGGCGUCUGUCCCGCCUUUGCGCGUGGACUCGCCCCAAAUUCAUUGGCAGCGGUCCUUGCCUCCUCUCGCGCAGCACAUUUGCGCUUCUCGAGGUGCGCGGGCCGCGUCCACGAAGCAACUAUUACCGUCUUUGACCUCGGAUCAGGUAGGGAUACCCGCUGAACUUAAGCAUAUCAAUAAGCGGAGGA